Molecule: long non-coding RNA, 2075 nt
Organism: Pan troglodytes (chimpanzee)
Lineage: Eukaryota; Metazoa; Chordata; Mammalia; Primates; Hominidae
Exons: 2
Source: RefSeq, a predicted model, not a curated record
AGAUAAGCGGUUGCCAAAGGGCUGGAAGUGGCAGGAAGAGGAACACAAGUGACUGCUAAUGGAUAAGACAAGAGCUCACUCACUGGAGAGCAGUGGCAUGAUCACAGGUCACCGCAUCCUGGAAUUCCUGGGCUCAUGAGAUCCUCGCACCUCAGCUUCCCGAGUAGCUGGGACUACAAGGUGUUUAACACCAUACCGGCUAAUUUUUGUUUUUUGUUUUGUUUCGUUCGAUGAAGACGAACUCCUGGGUUCAUGCAAUCCUCCCACCUCGCUUCCCAAAGUGUUAAGAGUAUAGACGUGAUCCACUGACCCUGGCAAAACUAUUUUUUAAAAAAAGUGACAAUGGCUUAACACCUACAUUAGAUGACAAUAAAACCAGUGCAGAUGGUCAUGAAAAGCAAACAAAUUCAGGGAUUAUAGACUUUAUAACCAAGUAUAUCUACUGGUCUGUGAAAGGAGGAAAUGACAGAGUAUGAACAAUAAAAUACUAUAACAUAUAUUGACUUACAAACAUUAAUCACUUCUGCUUUCAAAACAUUUGGAGGGCAACCAUCUCAUUCAAAAAGACCAACUUAAUUAUUGAGGAAGAUAAGAGAAUAAAAGCUAAGGGAAAAAAUAAGAUUCAUGUACAGAAAUAUGUAAGAAUGACAUAUUGUAGUUUUAUGCUUUCAGAAGAGGCACAGUUAUGGAAAAUGAGGCCAACCUAUGGGUAUAACAGAAGGCUCCUAAAGUAUGGUGGUUUCUGAGGUAGGGACUUCAAGUUGUAAAUACAGUAUCCAUCUACUCCUGCUUUCUUACCAGAAGAACACUGAUUUUGCUAGGUGCAAUAAUGGACUAUCCUAAAAUUUUUAAGGUUCUGGAAGACAGAGACGAUAAUAUGACAUAAUUCUGGUAAAUAAGAUGUAAUAUUUGAGAUGACUUGGGGUGAGUUUUAGAAAGCUCCUUGACUAGGGGCAAACUAAGGUGAUAUUGUAACUCAGGGUCCCCAGGUUUUGGGGUAUGCACUGUGAAAAAGUACUCACUUGCGGCCGGGCGCAGUGGCGCACGCCUGUAAUCCCAGCACUUUGGGAGGCCGAGGCGGGCGGAUCACGAGGUCCAGAGAUAGAGACCACCCUGGCCAACAAGGUGAAACCCCAUCUCUACUAAAAGUACAAAAAUUAGCUGGGCAUGGUGGUGCAUGCCUGUAGUCCCAUCUAAUCGGGAGGCUGAGGCAGGACAAUCGCUUGAAGCCAGGGGACAGGGGUUGCGGUGAGCCAAGAUGGCGCCACUGCACUCCAGCCUGGCGACAGAGCAAGACUCCGUCUGAAAAGAAAAAGAAAACUCACUUUUGUAACUGUUGCGCCUUGAGUUCUUGUUGUUUCAAGAAGUUCCAGAAAGAAGCUCAGCCCAGUGGUUGGGUCCAGAGAUGAGUAAACUGGAGAUGAACUUUUGGCAAACUCUCCUCACUACCAUACUAAAAUCCCCACCCAGGAAGUAGUUUAUGUGCCAUUUUCUAUACAUCUGAUGUAUGUAAAAGCAUGAUAAAUGUGCCUGCACUGCCUUUAUUCCACCUCUAAUACAAUGACUCAGCUAACUAGCCCGGGUGUUCACCUUUGUUUGGGGAGGCACUGCCUUUGGGACUAUCCCUAGUGUCCUCCUUGCUUGGUGCAAGUAAUAAAAUCCCCCUGUGAAAUCAUACUUGGUUGUGGUCACUGGACUUGUCAUCCACCAAGCAAAUGAACCCACCCAUUGUGUGUGUGACACUAUGAGCCUUCUUGCCCUUUUCUGCUUCCUCCUCCUUCCUGCCUGGAGCUGAACUAAGGAAGACAACAACAGUAUCAGUUAUAUUGUAACUGACCAUGAGGAAAAGACCAAGAGAACAACAGCCCAGUCUUCAACAGCCCUGGCAUCCUUAAAUGAUCACAUCAACUCUGGAAUGUCUACUUCUGGACUUAAAAGGAAAACCUUAUCUAUUUUGUUUAACCACUGUUAAUUGGCAUUGAGGAAAAAAUACCAUGAGACAAAAACUUGAAAAUAUCAGAUACAAGUUCAUAAUAAAAACACAGAGACCUAGAACAGCCAUAAGAAGCGUACAA